AUUUACAGCUAUGCCACCCUGAACAAGUCUGAUCCCGUCUAAUCUCAGAAGCUAAGCAGGGUCGGGCCUGGUUAGUACUUGGAUGGGAGACCACCUAGGAAGGCCAGGUGCUGUAGGCA
Molecule: non-coding RNA, 119 nt
Organism: Pteropus alecto (black flying fox)
Lineage: Eukaryota; Metazoa; Chordata; Mammalia; Chiroptera; Pteropodidae
Source: Rfam